CGUGUAGGCGGCUUGACAAGUCAGAUGUGAAAUCCCUGGGCUUAACCCAGGAAGUGCAUUUGAAACUGUUUGGCUGGAGUAAGGGAGAGGAAAGUGGGAAUUCCUGGUGUAGAGGUGAAAUUCGUAGAUAUCAGGAGGAACACCGGUGGCGAAGGCGACUUUCUGGCCCUAUACUGACGCUGAGACGCGAAAGCGUGGGUAGCAAACA
Molecule: ribosomal RNA, 208 nt
Filed under: uncultured Syntrophaceae bacterium
Lineage: Bacteria; Pseudomonadati; Thermodesulfobacteriota; Syntrophia; Syntrophales; Syntrophaceae
Description: partial 16S ribosomal RNA
Rfam family: Bacterial small subunit ribosomal RNA
Source: RNAcentral